AUUGAACGCUGGCGGCAUGCUUUACACAUGCAAGUCGAACGGCAGCGCGGGCUUCGGCCUGGCGGCGAGUGGCGAACGGGUGAGUAAUGCAUCUGAACGUGCCCAGUAGUGGGGGAUAGCCCGGCGAAAGCCGGAUUAAUACCCCAUACGACCUGAGGGUGAAAGCGGGGGACCGAAAGGCCUCGCGCUAUUGGAGCGGCCGAUGUCGGAUUAGCUAGUUGGUGGGGUAACGGCUUUCCAAGGCGACGAUCCGUAGCUGGUCUGAGAGGACGACCAGCCAGACUGGGAGUGAGACACGGCCCAGACUCCUACGGGAGGCAGCAGUGGGGAAUUUUGGACAAUGGGGGCAAGCCGGAUCCAGCCAUGCCGCGUGCGGGAAGAAGGACUUCGGGUUGUAAACCGCUUUUGUUCGGGAAGAAAUACUCUGGGCUAAUACCCCGGGGGGAUGACGGUACCGGAAGAAUAAGCACCGGCUAACUACGUG
Molecule: ribosomal RNA, 484 nt
Filed under: uncultured bacterium
Lineage: Bacteria
Description: partial 16S ribosomal RNA
Rfam family: Bacterial small subunit ribosomal RNA
Source: RNAcentral